Molecule: long non-coding RNA, 367 nt
Organism: Panicum virgatum (switchgrass)
Lineage: Eukaryota; Viridiplantae; Streptophyta; Magnoliopsida; Poales; Poaceae
Exons: 2
Source: RefSeq, a predicted model, not a curated record
GGCAUCAAGAUGGAAGAGGGAAAUCAGGAUCGCAAGACACAUGGCCAUAACAAGCUCACUGAACAAGAGAUCAGAGGAUUUCAAGAAGAGAUAGCAAACUUCAUCCUGGAACACGUGGUUAGCGUUGAAGGGAAAUACUCCAUUGCACGAACCAAGAGAUAUGGCGGAGAUUACACUCAAGAACUGGUGUCUAGACUGAUCAGUGUAAACCCACGAAACAAGAUGUCCCGCAACCUCUUCAAAGACUAGUGAACUUUAAUUUUGAUUUGUAUUGGGCCAUGUGAACUUUAAUGUCGCUUUGUGUGUCAAACUACAUUUUGGAGAACAUUGCAACAUUUGUAAUAUAUCUUGAUGGAUUUGUGGUGUA